This 236-nucleotide ribosomal RNA is filed under the name uncultured Acanthamoeba. Its description in RNAcentral is "partial 18S ribosomal RNA". It matches the Rfam family "Eukaryotic small subunit ribosomal RNA", at positions 97 to 279 of the family's 1831-position model. Lineage: Eukaryota; Discosea; Longamoebia; Acanthamoebidae. The record is from RNAcentral.
CUCAUUAAAUCAGUUAUAGUUUAUUUGAUGGUCUCUUUGUUCUUCUUUUUACCUACUUGGAUAACCGUGGUAAUUCUAGAGCUAAUACAUGCGCAAGGUCCCGAGCGCGGGGGGCGGGGCUUCACGGCCUCGUCCUCGCAUGCGUAGAGGGAUGUAUUUAUUAGGUUAAAAACCAGCAGCCGGCAACGGCUUCAACUCCUGGUGAUUCAUAGUAACUCUUUCGGAUCGCAUUCAUG